UACAGAGGGUGCAAGCGUUGUUCGGAAUUAUUGGGCGUAAAGGGCGCGUAGGCGGUUCGGCAAGUCUCUAGUGAAAUCUCAGGGCUCAACUCUGAGUCUGCUGGGGAAACUGCCGGGCUUGAGUGUGGGAGAGGAGAGUGGAAUUCCCGGUGUAGCGGUGAAAUGCGUAGAUAUCAGGAAGAACACCCGUGGCGAAGGCGGCUCUCUGGAACGCAACUGACGCUGAGACGCGAAAGCGUGGGGAGCAAACAGG
Molecule: ribosomal RNA, 253 nt
Filed under: uncultured bacterium
Lineage: Bacteria
Description: partial 16S ribosomal RNA
Rfam family: Bacterial small subunit ribosomal RNA
Source: RNAcentral